RNAcentral lists this ribosomal RNA (253 nucleotides) under uncultured bacterium. RNAcentral's name for it is "partial 16S ribosomal RNA". It matches the Rfam family "Bacterial small subunit ribosomal RNA", at positions 524 to 776 of the family's 1533-position model. The record is from RNAcentral.
UACGAAGGUGGCAAGCGUUACUCGGAAUUACUAGGCGUAAAGGGCAGGUAGGCGGUUUGAAAAGUCUGUUGUGGAAGCUCCCGGCUUAACUGGGAGAGGUCAACGGAAACUUUCAGACUCGAGUGUGGGAGAGGGUACUGGAAUUCCCGGUGUAGCGGUGAAAUGCGCAGAGAUCGGGAGGAACACCAACGGCGAAAGCAGGUACCUGGACCAAUACUGACGCUCAGCUGCGAAAGCUAGGGGAGCAAACAGG